CCACAACUACAACCGCACGAUGGCGAGUUUAAAAGCAUUCGCUACUCGUCUUGGCGAGUCUUAAUUUAAGG
This 71-nucleotide small RNA is filed under the name Limosilactobacillus fermentum. Lineage: Bacteria; Bacillati; Bacillota; Bacilli; Lactobacillales; Lactobacillaceae. The record is from RNAcentral.